GCUUAUCUAGUUAUAUAUUCAUUUUGUAGGAUCAGUACAGAUCUGUCAAUGGAGAUACAGUGCAAGCUGUGUGGAAUCAAAGACCCGUAUUGAUGAGGCCAGUGUCAGUGAAGAUGGUGUGGUCACUGGAAUCCUGGUGUUUGUGGGAAAUGUGAAGGAUGUUCUCCCAGGAUUCUACUACAGUGUUGUCCUGAUGACUGAGGUAUUUUUUUUUUUUUACUUUCCUGCCUCUUUGGAACAUGUCCAUUUACGCAUACUGUGUAGAGAUGGUGCGCAGCUUCAUGGACAUUUGAGGUUUUCUGCUGAUGGAGAGCUUCUGGGACAUUGACAUAAACAGCACUUUUUCCUACAACUUCAAAAAAGUUGGUGAUAGACAAUUUUGGUUUCUUGUUUUUGUGCCUUUGGAAUUCGUCAA
Molecule: long non-coding RNA, 415 nt
Organism: Megalobrama amblycephala (Wuchang bream)
Lineage: Eukaryota; Metazoa; Chordata; Actinopteri; Cypriniformes; Xenocyprididae
Exons: 3
Source: RefSeq, a predicted model, not a curated record